UACAGAGGUCCCAAGCGUUGUUCGGAUUCACUGGGCGUAAAGGGUGCGUAGGUGGUCAGGUAAGUCGGAUGUGAAAUCUCCGAGCUCAACUCGGAAACUGCAUUGGAAACUACCUGGCUCGAGGGUUGGAGGGGGGACUGGAAUGCUUGGUGUAGCAGUGAAAUGCGUAGAUAUCAAGCGGAACAUCAGUGGCGAAGGCGAGUCCCUGGACAACUCCUGACACUGAUGCACGAAGGCCAGGGGAGCAAACGGG
Molecule: ribosomal RNA, 253 nt
Filed under: uncultured bacterium
Lineage: Bacteria
Description: partial 16S ribosomal RNA
Rfam family: Bacterial small subunit ribosomal RNA
Source: RNAcentral